Molecule: long non-coding RNA, 8534 nt
Filed under: Brassica napus (rape)
Lineage: Eukaryota; Viridiplantae; Streptophyta; Magnoliopsida; Brassicales; Brassicaceae
Description: long non-coding RNA (BNAP_LNC001393)
Source: RNAcentral
GUGUAUGAUGUGGUUCUAUAGUUUUCAUUUCUCUCAUUCUGUGGUAAUUGUUCCAACGUCUUAUGUUCAUAUUGUAAAAUAAUAUCUGGACUAGGCUUGUUCAAAUUCUCUUGUUUGUGGUCUUGAUAUUCAUUGCAAUAUUCCCUAUUAUUCUUCACUGUACCUGUUACUAACUGCGCUGCGUGAUUGUUUAUGUUUGUUUGGGGAUGGAAUUCGAAUUUGAUUAUUUGAAUAUAUAGUAUAUACAUUUCAAAUUAGUUUAUUGUGGUUUGAGAUUAUUUUACAUUGUUAUACUUUGUCUCUAAAUAAUUCUAGGAUUUCAAAUCAUGAUCAUAAAGAGACAAUCAACAAGGGAUGUACGUGGGUACCUCCAAAUUGUGCUGAAUAGGUUUCCUGAUAAUCGUGAAAUAUAUGAUAAAAUUACCAAGCUCUUGAAGGACUUGAGACUUGCAAGGUAUUUGCUAUGUGUUAAACAUUAAUUUUCCUCUUUUAUUUGUUCAAUUUCUGUCCGAAUAAUAGUCUUAUGACUUAUGAGAAGUUGAAAAUUUUAAUUGUGUUUUAAUUGCAGACUUCGUUCUACUUACAAUGAUGUCAUAUCAAAGGUGAGUCAACUCUUUAAGGAACACAAAGACCUGCUUUUGGGUUUCAAUAAGUUCUUGCCGCCGGGCUAUAAGAUAACACUCCCGAAGGAUCAAACUCAACGAAGGAAGCCUGAGUUUCGGGAUGCUGCUGAAUUUAUCAACAAGGUCAAGGUACGAACACUCGCCCAUGGUAGUAAAUUGGGAUAUAAAAUUUGACUAACGACUUGACUUUCAGUUUACUUUGUGCUAUAAAUAUUGAAAUCUUAAAAGAAAUAUAACACAGUUUGUAUUCUAGCCCUAGUAAUAAAUUAUAUUCAUCUUUUCUGUUUUACCAUCUCCCGUUAAAUAUAUCGGUUAUUCGCAGGAAAGGUUGCAAGACGAGCAUGCAUACAAAUCCUUGUUAGAGAUAUUUCGAAUGUUCAGAGAAAAUAAGAAGAGUCUUACUGAGGUCCAUCAUGAGGUAUAUAUAUAUAUAUAUGUGUGUGUGCGCGCGUGUGUUUCAGCACUAUCAUAAAAAAAACUAUUAAUACAUGUAUAAUAUUAAUACUUGUUUCUUCUUUAGUGUUCAUGUAUUGGGUUUGAUGAUUUUACCUUUAUUUUGUUAAGGAAAUGAUUACCUAUUUGCAGGUGUUGUAUGUCCUCCGAGACCACCAGGAUUUGCGUGUGGAUUUUGCAGCUUUUCUCCCUGCUCGCUAUAGAGAAGAUUGAGAUUGCAGUUGAAUAAUAUGUUGUUGUUGAUGACAAAACUUAUCAUUCAUUUCAGUUAUUUUUCAUACAAAACAGACACUCAUUUCAGCUACUUUUCGUCGUUUGAGUUUCAUAUUAUGGACAAUAUAUAUGGAUGAACACUUACAAGUGCUAUUAUUUCUACUUUAACUGUAAAUUAUAUGGAUAUACAUGUAUAGUAACUUUUUGUAUAUUGAUCUUCUUCUUUGGUUCCUUCAUCCGUAUAAUGUUGUUUACAACUUUACGUUGGUUUGUAUUAGAGGACAUACAUUGGUGUCUUUUUUGUUCAAGUUGAGUUAUCAUGAGAAAAGAGGUCUUAUAGCAGAGAACAAGAUACGUUCCAACAGAAUGCUCAUGUUGUUUGAUUAGACUGGUGAAGGUGAUGGAUCAAAACAACAAAGGUGUAUGCAGAUAACCGCAGAGAACGUGCCAAAGCUCUGGCGUGAGUUUUUGGACACAUCAGUCACCGAGGUUUGAAGACACUACAAAGAAAGAGUAUGGUACGUGGCCUUCCAAACUUUGACACUCAGAACUUCACUUGCUCAGACUGUCUGAUUGGGAAACAACCGAGAAACCCCAUUCCAAAGAAGAGUUCAUGGAGAGCAAAAGAAGUGCUUGAACUCAUACACUCUGACAUCUGUGGGCCUAUCAAUCCAAUCUCAACGAGUGGUAUAAAGUAUAUCUUGUGCUUCAUUGAUGAUUGUAGCAGGAAAGCGUGGGUGUAUCUCUUGAAAGAGAAGUCUGAAGCUUUCAACCACUUCAAGAUUUUCAAGAAGAAGGUGGAAACUGAGGCUGGCAAAAACAUCAAAUGCUUGAGAACUGAUAGAGGUGGAGAGUACACAUCAACUGACUUCUCUGACUACUGUAAGGAGAAUGGCAUUAGAAGACAGCUCACCACAGCCUACACACCUCAACAGAAUGGCAUUGUAGAAAGAAAGAAUCGCACUGUCAUGAACAUGGUCAGAUCACUCCUCUCAACUCGGAAAGUACCAAGAAUCUUCUGGCCAGAAGCAGUGAAGUGGACGUUUUACGUUCUGAACCGAUGCCCUACACAUGCAGUCAAAAACAUUACUCCACAAGAAGCUUGGAGUGGAGUGAAACCGAAUGUGGAGCACUUCAGAGUAUGGGAAAUUGCACAUGCUCACAUUUCAGAUCAAAAACGGGGAAAGCUCGAUGAUAAGAGCGUUGCUUGCUUCCUGAUCAGAAGAGUCUAAGGCGUAUAGACUCUACAAUCCAGUAACCAAGAAGGUAAUAAUCAGUAGAGAUGUGGUGUUUGAAGAAACAAAAGGUUGGGAUUGGGAUGAAGAUCAAAACACAUCAGAAGGAAGCCGAGUUAACCUGAAGUGAUGAUGGCAUUCUUGAGGAAAUUGAAGAAGAAGACAGUGAUGGGGAAAACUCUGAUGGUGAAACAGAACAGCCUGCAGCGGAAGAAGAAGAAGAACAAACCGAUCAGAAUGUGGGAGCUAGGGAGGGAAGAACCAGAAGACUCCCAUGAUAUCUGAAUGACUAUGUCACCCUAGCAGAAGCUGAGACCGAAGAAGAUCAAGUAAACAUGGUGGAGAUCAACACAACUGAUCCAGCAGCCUUUGAAGAUGCAGAGAAAGAACAAAAGUGGAGGGAAGCGAUGGAGGAGGAAAUAAAAUCAAUCCAAAAGAACCAAACAUGGGAGUUAUGUCUUCUUCCUGAUGGAGCAAAGUGUAUUGGAGUUAAGUGGAUCUACAAAACCAAGCUAAAUGAACACGGGGAGAUCAACAAACACAAGGCACGAUUGGUCGCAAAGGGAUACUCGCAGGAGCAUGACAUUGAAUACACAGAAGUCUAUGCACCGGUGGCUCGUAUGGACACAAUCAGAGCUAUACUUGCCACUGCAGCACAAAUGAGCUGGGAGAUACAUCAACUUGAUGUUAAGUCUGCCUUUCUCCAUGGUGUCCUUACAGAAGAUGUCUACAUUCAACAACCAAAGGGAUAUGAGGUAGAAGGAGAAGAGGAUCAAGUCUACAAACUCCACAAGGCCCUGUACGGUCUGAAACAAGCUCCCAGAGCCUGGUUUAGUAGAAUUAAAGAAUACUUCACCAAUGAAGGGUUCAUGAAGUCGCAGAAUGAGGAAACUCUGUUUCAAAAGUUCAAUGAUCAAGGUAAUACCCUGAUUGUGAGUGUGUAUGUUGACGAUUUGAUAUACAUAGGAGAUGAUAUUUCAAUGAUGAAAGAGUUCAAGGAGUCGAUGCAAAGGGAGUUUGACAUGACGGAUCUUGGAAAGAUGAGGUACUUUCUUGGGCUUGAAGUGUUGCAGACGCCACACGGAAUUCAUGUGUCUCAAGAAAAGUAUGCAAUGGAGGUCUUAAAGCAUUUUGAUAUGGAGAACUGCAACUCGGUGUGCAACCCAAUGGUGCCUGGAAACAAACUAGACAUGGAUGAGGGAGGGAAUCGAGUGGAUGAAACCUUCUACAAGAAGAUCAUAGGGAGUCUGAUGUACAUCACCACAACACGGCCAGACCUGCAGUUUUCAGUAAGUCUCUUAAGCCGUUACAUGUCAAAUCCCACAGAUCUUCACUUGCAAGCAGCAAAGAGGGUACUAAGGUACCUAAAGGGAACUAUGGAUUUUGGCAUCUGGUAUAAGAGAGGAGGGAAAGGAGAGCUACUGGUCUACACUGAUAGUGAUUUUGCAGGAGAUAUUGAUAGCAGGAAGAGCACGUCUGGAUAUGUGUUCGUGAUGGAUGGAGCUGCAGUAGCUUGGUCUUUGAAGAAGCAACCUAUAGUCACACAAUCCUCUUGCUGCCUUUGUAUGCGCCUGUCAAGCUAUCUGGUUCAAGAGAAUCUUGGAAGAACAAGGACACAACAUGAAGAAGAGUACAGUCAUUCUUUGUGACAACACCUCAACAAUCAAGCUUUCAAAGAAUCCGGUCUUUCAUGGAAGAUGCAAGCACAUAGGAGUCUGUUUUCACUUUCUCAGGAAUCUGGUAACCGAUGGAGAGAUACACUUGGAGCACUGUGGCACGCAUGAACAACUUGCUGAUGUUUUCACAAAACCACUAAGUCGAGAAGCGUUUGAGAGGAUAAGGAGUCCACUUGAGAUUUGUUCUGCUAAGGUUAAGCUAAGUCUUGUUCCAGAAGCUUAGUUUAGAGAGGGUUUGUUAGAGCAAAUCAAAGGAGCCGUUGGAAGUUUAAGUUUCAGUUUGUAAGUUUGAAUUAGUCAUUUCUGUUUGCUUAUUAGUAGCGAUCAUGGUUAGUGAUAUCCAUGUAUCUAGGACCAAGUUUAUUAGUUGGCUUAGUGCCGCUAUUGUAGGAACUCGUUGCUCUUUGUAAGGCUAUUUAUAGUCAUCUCUUUUAUUCAAUGAAAGUAGUGCAUUAUUCAGAUAUUUACAGAGCUUUUGAUCAAACAAAAAUGUCAGUACGUGAUAGAGCUGUUAAAUCACUUCCCACCAUGCGGGACCGGAUCAUUGCUUCACAUACAGACUCUGUGACCUCAAAAUGGAGCGUAUGGACCUAGACAAUGAGAGAUCUUUGUUGAAAGGAAGUAAAGAAGAGGCUAGACGCAUUGACACAAUGAAUGAUCACAUGGAUGGAUGACAGCAACAGGAAAGGUUAUGGAAUUGAUAGCCAGUAAGAGCAGUUUCUCCACAGUAAAAAAGAAACUGACACUAAGGGAUGAUGAUUCUCCUGAAAUCACAAAUCAGGCUAGGGAAGGAGUGAGUUUCUUGAUUUCAUUUCAAGCAGCCUUGUCUGCCAUUAGUUAUGGCCUGAAAUUAACUUUUGUGAUGACAGGCCAUGUCCAAAAACUUGCUUUUGUUGAUCGAGUGAAGAUGAAACUUAACACCUCGGAAAACCAAGUGUUCUUGCGAUGGCUUAAUCUAUUUUCAAAGAAAAUAAUCAGCCAACCUGAAUUGCAUUCUUUGGUAUGUUUAUCUGCCUAACCUUAUAUGGACAUAUAUUAUUGUUUCAGGUGGAGAAUUUAAUCGGACCUUAUGGAUAAUUUUAUUCAGAACUUGUGUUUCUCGUAUUACAUUCCUAUGUCAAAAGGUAUAUGAUUUGACCAUCUUUUAUUUUUCUUUCUGGAGAAGGAUUACUCUCUGGCAUCGUUACUAAGAGUGAGUAUAGCUUUUUAUGAUUGAUUGAGUGGAGUGGAAUCAAAUUUAGCUCUAACUACUGGACUGUUGUGAUUACAGAAUCCUUGUGGAAUAACUCAUAGAAAUCAGGUGUGAAGUAACUUAUUUAUAUUAUUUAUAUUAUUCAAUAUUAUUUUUCCUUUUUUCUUUAUUUUUCAUUAGAAUGUUUUCAAAAUCAAAUAAAUAUCAAUUUAUCUGUAAACUAAUACAUUCUUAAACAAUUUUCAUAAUUAUACAUCUAAAUUAUUAAUUAAUGUUUUGUUUCUUGGCUUUUCCCUUAAUAUAUGAGAUAAUUAGAGAUUUUUGAAAGACUCUUCAAAAAAAUUAACCAUUUAUCAUGAUUUUUGUGUCCGACUGAGACAGUUUUUUUUUUUGAAACACACCUACUUUCAUUAAACACUCAAUCUUCUUCCAUACAACAAAAAAGAGAGAAUCAUCCAUCCUCUUUGUCCAUAAACAUAAAAUGCAACAAAUAAAUAAGCUAAACGAGAUAAGUCUUCAACCGAAGAUGACAGCGAAUUCGAGACGAUGCUUGAAUGCGUCGGGGAAACUUUCACGACAAAGUCGUACAGCUUAGAGAUAGUCACAAGUGACGUUGAGAGACAGUUUUCACCAAUAAGAAAAACCGAAGUAGUCUUGAUUGCACCUUCAGACCCCGCACAGACCGCUCCACAAGGUAACAAACCGGUGAGUAAACUGAAACUAAAGCUCAAAAAAGAAUCCGAGAAAUUUGCUCUAUUCAUAGAAAGGAGAUAUGGUAGUGAAAUACUCUCCGCAACAGAGGAGGAGAUGGAAGUUGUGCGCAGACAACAUGACUUUACUAGUUUUUGAUGGCUCAAAGCUGGACGCCGGAGUGAAUUUCCACCUACAUCGGACACCAGAUUCACAAACAAAUGGUUCAGAGCUAGACGCCGGAGUGGAUUCCCACCUACAUCGGACAUCAGAUUCACAAACAGAUGAAAACAUGGUUGUAAAGUUGUCAAGGACGGUAUAAGUUUGCCAAACAAACACGGAUCUGGUCAGAGGAUGCUACGGAUCUGGCGCUGGAACUGGAGGGAAGCAAGGGAGAGCACAAGUGAUGAACAUGAUGCUCCAUGACAGAUUGAAGAGCUUGGACAAAGCCUUCCGUGUGACUUGUCCGUCGGCGGUAACACAUGGGAUCAACGGAGAUUACCCCCCAUAAACAAAGCACAUCAGCGGUGGGAGAGUCCUCCAGACUCAUUGCUGGUGAACAGAACAAAUGAGAGGGAAGAGACACCAAGAGGACGAGAACGGAGAACCAGAUCGAUGGUCCUCGUCGCGUGCUUCAUCGGGAUCUCCUUCCUUCACAGAACAUGAAGAGAAACAAAGCAGAGCAAAAACAAAGGACAAGCAGUAGCGUGAAGACCAGAGAGCAGAGAAGAGAUGGUGGCCAGCGCCGGCGAUAAAGAGCCUCACCGACGCCGGAGAUCGUGAAUCGCAAGGUCUCCUCGAUGUUCGUGUCUGAGAGAGCGGCUAGGGCGAACCUCAAGUACUGAGACAGUUGUUUAUAUAUAAGAAUUGUACAUUUUUAAUUGAGAAAGAGAAGUUUAAAUAUUGGGCUUAUUACGUAGUAGUCAUAAUUUGAAUAUAAAUUAGGCAAGUGACAAUGAUUUUGACAUAAUGUAAUGUCAGACAUUUAGACCAAAAACCAUCCGGUUUUGUCACUUUCCUUAACAUGUUUCCGGUUGUCAAUGAGAGAGUAGAUGACGUUGUUGGUUUUUUCCUACGGUGAAUAAUGAACCACUAGUAUUUACAAUUACAUAUCGGUACAAAGCUCAUGUCACAGAUUUAUUUACUCCCUACAUAUUCAUUAUAUGCAGUAAAAUAAGUGGACAAAAAUAGAAGACGGUUUAAAUUAUAAAAGUUUAGUUCAAUUACUACACAUAGCAAGUCUAAGAAUAUUAUUAAAAUUAAAAUAUAAUAUUAUAAAACUAAUUUUAUAUAUAAAUAUUGAUCUAUCAAAUAUAAUUAUUAAUAAAAUUAAUUUUUUUUUUUUUUAAAACACGGAUUUGAAUCCGGAUAUCUGAUCUAAAAAUUAAGAUAUCCGGAUCCGGUUUUGACGGAUCCAAGAUUUUACUAUACGAAUUCGGAUCCGAACACUCCGGAUAUCCUAUCUUCGGAGCGGAUUCUGGAUCGGAUCCGAAUCAUGGAUAAUAAGUCUCAGGCCUAGUAUAUAUAUGAGGAUUGUACUUUUUUAACAGAGAAAGAGAGGUUUAAUCUUUUGUUCAAAAAAAAAGAGAGGUUUAAUCUUUCAAAAAAAAAAAAAGAGAGGUGUAAAUCGUUAACUAAGAAAGAGAAUUAUGAUAUCCACCUAUAUAGUAUUAAAAGAUAUAGAAGAGAUCAAUUUAAAUUUUGAAGCUUUUAUAAAUAUAAUUGUUGGCUGUAUAUGUUAUGAUAUAUUUUCUAAUAUUUUCUGUGAAUGAAUUGUUUUAGUCAAAUAAAAGGAAGGAAAUAAAAGAUAUAUUUUCAUUAUUACCUUAGAAAUAUGAUUUUUUUUGUCUAUUCCACAUUUGUAUAUAAAUGCAACGUAAUAUAAUUUUAAACCAUAAAAUAUUCUUGUCUACUUUUGUGGGAAUUGUUCAAAACCUGUCUGCGUGCUGUGUGAGGUAAGGAGAAACCCUUUCCUCUGGAUGAUGAUUUAGGUCUCGCUUAAGAUUUGAUAGGUGUAUGAUGUGGUUCUAUAGUUUUCAUUUCUCUCAUUCUGUGGUAAUUGUUCUAACGUUUUAUGUUUAUAUUGUAAAAUAAUAUCUGGACUAGUCUAGGUUCAAAUUCUUUAGUUUGUGGUCUUGAUAUUCAUUGCAAUAUUUCCUAUGAUUGUUCACCGUACCUGUUACUAACUGUGCUGCGUGAUUGUUUAUAUUUGUAUUUUGGGAUGGAAUUCGAAUUGGAGUAUUUGAAUAUAUAGUAUAUACGUUUCAAAUUAGUUUAUUGUAGUUUGGGAUUAUUUUACAUUGCUAUACUUUGUCUCUAAAUAAUUCUAGGCAAUUUCAAAUCAUGAUCAUAAAGAGACAAUCUGCAAGGGAUGUACUUGAGUACCUCCAAAUUGUGCUGAAUAGGUUUCCUGAUAAUCGUGAAAUAUAUGAUAAAAUUACCAAGCUCUUGA